Molecule: long non-coding RNA, 818 nt
Organism: Styela clava
Lineage: Eukaryota; Metazoa; Chordata; Ascidiacea; Stolidobranchia; Styelidae
Source: RefSeq, a predicted model, not a curated record
UGAAUUUCAAACUUUCUCAAAUUGGUGGGAUCGGAAGUCGAAGCUGGGAAUAUUUCGAUUUUGUAGACUUCAUAGUGAUAGAAAUGCUGGGGUCUGGAACAAGACUGUCAUAAAACUUCCUGGAGGUCGCGAAAACAUUUGGCCGUGUCAAGUGGGUCGUGAUGAAAAAAGUUUGAAGAACACUGAUCUAAAUUAUUUGUGGAAUUACUAAUGGUUUAACUCAUACUUAAGCACUUAACAUGGUUUCACUAACUUCGAGGAAAUCACGGGACAACACAGUUUCAUAAUUCGUGAAAGAACGUCGCAUGUGCCGUGCUCAUGUACAUGUCUUUGUAUUUGGCGUAUUGAAGAUUAAACACCGCAAGACAUAGGGCUGUUCAUGUCCAAAAUAAAUAGAACGUCUUCAUAAAUGUCAUCAAUUUCGCAAAUAUGUGAUUUUCAUGUCACAAUGACUUUCUAAAUCACCUAUUAUUACUUCACAAUAAGGCUUACAAAAUGAAGACUCAAAAGAAAUGAAGCUGUGCUGGGUUAGAUUUCAUUUCCUGCAUAUUUUAAUUUCCGUUACAUAUCGUGGGUAUAUGUUGUUAUAAAAGGUGGGUUAUUCAUUAACCCAGAACAAGACGACAUUGUUACCCAGAUUGACACAUCUUAAUAGACUGAUUGCACAUUUAAUAAAUACCGUUCUACAGACGGGAGGAGUCGUGUAUCACCUUUUUUUGAUGAUUUAGUAUCAUUACGUUGUUUUAUAUGAAAGCUUCUUUUUUAUAUGUUGAGAAUGGAAAUUCUUUUCCAUUGGGUAAACUUUGUUUUUAUGGAAU